Molecule: ribosomal RNA, 253 nt
Filed under: uncultured bacterium
Lineage: Bacteria
Description: partial 16S ribosomal RNA
Rfam family: Bacterial small subunit ribosomal RNA
Source: RNAcentral
UACGUAGGGUGCAAGCGUUGCCCGGAAUUACUGGGCGUAAAGCGCACGUAGGCGGCUUUGUAAGUUAGAGGUGAAAGCCCGGGGCUCAACUCCGGAACUGCCUUUAAGACUGCAUCGCUUGAAUCCAGGAGAGGUGAGUGGAAUUCCGAGUGUAGAGGUGAAAUUCGUAGAUAUUCGGAAGAACACCAGUGGCGAAGGCGGCUCACUGGACUGGUAUUGACGCUGAGGUGCGAAAGCGUGGGGAGCGAACAGG